Hordeum vulgare subsp. vulgare (domesticated barley) is the source of this 1662-nucleotide long non-coding RNA. RefSeq lists it as uncharacterized. The transcript is spliced from 7 exons. NCBI's taxonomy places the organism in Eukaryota, Viridiplantae, Streptophyta, Magnoliopsida, Poales, Poaceae. The record is from RefSeq and is a predicted model, not a curated record.
GCUCCUGCCGUAGCGUUGCCACGGCGUUGGUUGGAAUUUGGGGUCGUGGUUAGGGUGUGCUGCCGGCACUGAAAUCUGCAAUUUGUUACUCGUCCAACUGUCCAAGCGACUCCGAUGCCUGUUGUGCAUGAGCGCAGAGAUCAGGGAUUGGAUUAUUUUACUAUAGAUCAAAUGACAUCCGAAUGUGCCUGGAAUUUGUUUUUGCUGAACCAGGAAUGCACCAGGAAUACAUACAGCAUCUCUGCUCUGCCUAUGGAAAAGGAUUGAACACCACUAAAUCCUUCUUUCCCACCCAAUGUCAAUCGGUAGGGGCUGUCCCGCGUGGCGUUCCUCCAUGGAAGCAUCCAACAGCAACCAAGGACCAGACCAUCUCAUUGUUCUGGUUCAUGGUAUCAUGGCAAGCCCCAGUGACUGGAUAUAUGGGGACACAGUGCUGAAAAGGAGGCUAGGUGAUGAUUUCUUCAUCAAUGCUAGUUCAUCAAACAUCGACGCUAAAACUUUUGACGGGAUCGAUGUAGCUGGAAGGAGGUUAGCGAAAGAAGUAUAUGUGGUAGAGACUAUUCUCUGUUGUUCAUGUAUAUAUUGACUGCUUAGGAAGCUUACAUAAUAAUGCCCUAUGGAAAGAAGGUCUUGGACGUGGUUCAGAAGAUGCCCAGCUUGAACAAGAUUUCCUUCAUAGUACAUUCUUUGGGUGGUGUGUUUGCUAGAUAUGCUAUUUCUAUACUAUAUUCACUGCAAGCAAAAGAAACGGGAAGCGGUGUUGGUGUCAUGCCGACAGUUAGAGGAUCUGAAAUGUCACACACUUCAGGAAUAGUGUCUUUCAAUGGUAACAAAUCAUCGAAGGCAUGAAACGAAUUUGUGUCUUUAUUAAACAGGGCAUCUCUGUGUGUGUGUGUGUGUGUGUCUGAACAAUGCAUCUCUCUUUUUAUGCAUAUGUAAUCACGUUAGAUAGAUCGAUUAUGCCACCAGAUCCGUUCUUACCGCCAAACAACUCAGUUGCUAGCGGACUGAUUUACAGGUUAACUAUUGCCCAGAGACGGGUGAUGCAUCGUGAAUCGGGUUAAAAACUCAAAAGUAGUGCUCUAAUCCAUCGAGGUUAAGGCAAGCAUCAUGCACUUUUAGGCGUGCGGACAAGCGCUGCAAGCCCCAAUGCCUGCUUGCACGUUACUUGAUUCUUUGAUUGAUUCCAUGAACCUUUUGGGAGCAACACAACACACGCGAUGAAGCCAAAUUAACACACGCGCAUUGGGUGAACGGCCUCACGUGUCGUACACGCAUAACCACGUACGUGCACGUGACGACUAACAGCUUUAGACUCGAUGCAUGCAUCGGCGUGUUUGAAAUCACCCAAACGAGUAGAGUGUUGAGUGACUGCAAAUCGUAUCCAGAGAGUAUAGUAGAGUACUUGCUGCUUCUUUUCUUGGUGAGUACUUGCUGCUUCUUUUCUUGGUCUCUGGAUCUCUGCGGCGACUACGGUGGCCUUUUCCCAAUCUGCGAUGCCGACAGCGCCGAAGAUGCUCUUCUUCAACGUGUGCUCUUGAAUCUUGAUUGAGCCAAGCGAGAACCGGAUUCAUCUUUGGUAACUGUUGCAAAGGACGACUCCACAAAUUGGAUCUGGAGAGAUGCUAUUCAGGAGUUUCAACCCAAGGGCAAUGCUAUAGC